GGUUAAGCGACUAAGCGUACACGGUGGAUGCCCUGGCAGUCAGAGGCGAUGAAGGACGUGCUAAUCUGCGAAAAGCGUCGGUAAGGUGAUAUGAACCGUUAUAGCCGGCGAUGUCCGAAUGGGGAAACCCAGUGCAAUUCGUUGCACUAUCGUUAACUGAAUACAUAGGUUAACGAGGCGAACCGGGGGAACUGAAACAUCUAAGUACCCCGAGGAAAAGAAAUCAACCGAGAUUCCCCCAGUAGCGGCGAGCGAACGGGGAGCAGCCCGGAGUCUGAAUCAGCUUGUGUGUUAGUGGAAGCGUCUGGAAAGUCGCAGGGUACAGGGUGAUACUCCCGUACACUAAAAUGCACAGGUUGUGAACUCGAAGAGUAGGGCGGGACACGUGGUAUCCUGUCUGAAUAUGGGGGGACCAUCCUCCAAGGCUAAAUACUCCUGACUGACCGAUAGUGAACCAGUACCGUGAGGGAAAGGCGAAAAGAACCCCGGCGAGGGGAGUGAAAAAGAACCUGAAACCGUGUACGUACAAGCAGUAGGAGCCCACUUGUUGGGUGACUGCGUACCUUUUGUAUAAUGGGUCAGCGACUUAUAUUCUGUAGCAAGGUUAACCGUAUAGGGGAGCCGCAGGGAAACCGAGUCUUAACUGGGCGUUAAGUUGCAGGGUAUAGACCCGAAACCCGGUGAUCUAGCCAUGGGCAGGUUGAAGGUUGGGUAACACUAACUGGAGGACCGAACCGACUAAUGUUGAAAAAUUAGCGGAUGACUUGUGGCUGGGGGUGAAAGGCCAAUCAAACCGGGAGAUAGCUGGUUCUCCCCGAAAGCUAUUUAGGUAGCGCCUCGUGAACUCAUCUUCGGGGGUAGAGCACUGUUUCGGCUAGGGGGUCAUCCCGACUUACCAACCCGAUGCAAACUACGAAUACCGAAGAAUGUUAUCACGGGAGACACACGGCGGGUGCUAACGUCCGUCGUGAAGAGGGAAACAACCCAGACCGCCAGCUAAGGUCCCAAAGUCAUGGUUAAGUGGGAAACGAUGUGGGAAGGCCCAGACAGCCAGGAUGUUGGCUUAGAAGCAGCCAUCAUUUAAAGAAAGCGUAAUAGCUCACUGGUCGAGUCGGCCUGCGCGGAAGAUGUAACGGGGCUAAACCAUGCACCGAAGCUGCGGCAGCGACGCUUAUGCGUUGUUGGGUAGGGGAGCGUUCUGUAAGCCGUUGAAGGUGGCCUGUGAGGGUUGCUGGAGGUAUCAGAAGUGCGAAUGCUGACAUAAGUAACGAUAAUGCGGGUGAAAAACCCGCACGCCGGAAGACCAAGGGUUCCUGUCCAACGUUAAUCGGGGCAGGGUGAGUCGACCCCUAAGGCGAGGCCGAAAGGCGUAGUCGAUGGGAAACAGGUUAAUAUUCCUGUACUCGGUGUUACUGCGAAGGGGGGACGGAGAAGGCUAUGUUGGCCGGGCGACGGUUGUCCCGGUUUAAGCAUGUAGGCGGAUGUUCCAGGUAAAUCCGGAACGUUACUAACGCUGAGGUGUGAUGACGAGGCACUACGGUGCUGAAGUGACAAAUGCCCUGCUUCCAGGAAAAGCCUCUAAGCAUCAGGUAACAUCAAAUCGUACCCCAAACCGACACAGGUGGUCAGGUAGAGAAUACCAAGGCGCUUGAGAGAACUCGGGUGAAGGAACUAGGCAAAAUGGUGCCGUAACUUCGGGAGAAGGCACGCUGAUGGUAGGUGAAGUGACUUGCUCAUGGAGCUGAAAUCAGUCGAAGAUACCAGCUGGCUGCAACUGUUUAUUAAAAACACAGCACUGUGCAAACACGAAAGUGGACGUAUACGGUGUGACGCCUGCCCGGUGCCGGAAGGUUAAUUGAUGGGGUUAUCCGUAAGGAGAAGCUCUUGAUCGAAGCCCCGGUAAACGGCGGCCGUAACUAUAACGGUCCUAAGGUAGCGAAAUUCCUUGUCGGGUAAGUUCCGACCUGCACGAAUGGCGUAAUGAUGGCCAGGCUGUCUCCACCCGAGACUCAGUGAAAUUGAACUCGCUGUGAAGAUGCAGUGUACCCGCGGCAAGACGGAAAGACCCCGUGAACCUUUACUAUAGCUUGACACUGAACACUGGUCCUUGAUGUGUAGGAUAGGUGGGAGGCUUUGAAGUGUGGACGCCAGUCUGCAUGGAGCCAUCCUUGAAAUACCACCCUUUAAUGGCUGGUGUUCUAACGUGGGCCCGUAAUCCGGGUUGCGGACAGUGUCUGGUGGGUAGUUUGACUGGGGCGGUCUCCUCCUAAAGAGUAACGGAGGAGCACGAAGGUCAGCUAAUCCUGGUCGGACAUCAGGAGGUUAGUGCAAUGGCAUAAGCUGGCUUGACUGCGAGCGUGACGGCGCGAGCAGGUGCGAAAGCAGGUCAUAGUGAUCCGGUGGUUCUGAAUGGAAGGGCCAUCGCUCAACGGAUAAAAGGUACUCCGGGGAUAACAGGCUGAUACCGCCCAAGAGUUCAUAUCGACGGCGGUGUUUGGCACCUCGAUGUCGGCUCAUCACAUCCUGGGGCUGAAGUAGGUCCCAAGGGUAUGGCUGUUCGCCAUUUAAAGUGGUACGCGAGCUGGGUUUAGAACGUCGUGAGACAGUUCGGUCCCUAUCUGCCGUGGGCGCUGGAGAAUUGAGGGGGGCUGCUCCUAGUACGAGAGGACCGGAGUGGACGCAUCACUGGUGUUCGGGUUGUCAUGCCAAUGGCAUUGCCCGGUAGCUAAAUGCGGAAGAGAUAAGUGCUGAAAGCAUCUAAGCACGAAACUUGCCCCGAGAUGAGUUCUCCCUGACUCCUUGAGAGUCCUGAAGGAACGUUGAAGACGACGACGUUGAUAGGCCGGGUGUGUAAGCGCAGCGAUGCGUUGAGCUAACCGGUACUAAUGAACCGUGAGGCUUAACCUU
This 2907-nucleotide ribosomal RNA is filed under the name Klebsiella michiganensis. RNAcentral describes it as "23S ribosomal RNA". It matches the Rfam family "Bacterial large subunit ribosomal RNA". Lineage: Bacteria; Pseudomonadati; Pseudomonadota; Gammaproteobacteria; Enterobacterales; Enterobacteriaceae. The record is from RNAcentral.